Molecule: non-coding RNA, 136 nt
Organism: Suncus etruscus (white-toothed pygmy shrew)
Lineage: Eukaryota; Metazoa; Chordata; Mammalia; Eulipotyphla; Soricidae
Product: small Cajal body-specific RNA 3
Exons: 1
Source: RefSeq, a predicted model, not a curated record
AAUGGAACCUGCAGGAAUCAUCCACGUGGGCAAAUGACAAGUCUUUGUCUGCGGUCGCAGUGGUCCUACAGAAAAACGGAGGGCUCUGUCUGGCUUGGAGCAGCCAGCCAGGCCUGAUCGUUCCCCUCCGGACAUC